This 468-nucleotide ribosomal RNA is filed under the name uncultured bacterium. RNAcentral's name for it is "partial 16S ribosomal RNA". It matches the Rfam family "Bacterial small subunit ribosomal RNA", at positions 28 to 507 of the family's 1533-position model. The record is from RNAcentral.
GACGAACGCUGGCGGCGUGCUUAACACAUGCAAGUCGAACGGAAAGGCCCAAGUUUGGUUGGGUACUCGAGUGGCGAACGGGUGAGUAACACGUGGGUGACCUGCCCUGCACUUUGGGAUAACUCCGGGAAACUGGGUCUAAUACCGGAUAGGACCACGGUCUGCAUGGUGUUGUGGAGAGUUUUUCCGGUGUGGGAUGUGCUCGCGGGCUUUCUCCUUUUUGGGGGGGUGUUGGCCUACAAAGGCGUUGUCGGGUGGCCGCCCUGAGAGGGGGUGCGGCGACAUAUUGACAGUGAGACGGCGCAGACUCCUACGGGAGGGAGCAGUGGGGAGUAUAGCGCAAUGUGGGCAAGCCUGAUGCGGCGACGCGGCGUGGGGGAGGUCGGCCUUCUGGUUGUAAACUCCGUUCUCGAGUGACAAAGCGUGUUUGUGACGGUACCUGGUGAAGAAGCACCGGCUAACUACGUG